AGUGAACGCUGGCGGUAGGCCUAACACAUGCAAGUCGAACGGCAGCACAGUAAGAGCUUGCUCUUACGGGUGGCGAGUGGCGGACGGGUGAGGAAUACAUCGGAAUCUACUUUUUCGUGGGGGAUAACGUAGGGAAACUUACGCUAAUACCGCAUACGACCUACGGGUGAAAGCAGUGGAUCUUCGCACCUUGCGCGAUUGAAUGAGCCGAUGUCGGAUUAGCUAGUUGGCGGGGUAAAGGCCCACCAAGGCGACGAUGCGUAGCUGGUCUGAGAGGAUGAUCGGCCACACUGGAACUGAGACACGGUCCAGACUCCUACGGGAGGCAGCAGUGGGGAAUAUUGGACAAUGGGCGAAAGCCUGACCCAGCCAUACCGCGUGGGUGAAGAAGGCCUUCGGGUUGUAAAGCCCUUUUGUUGGGAAAGAAAAGCAGCAGGUUAAUACCCCGCUGUUCUGACGGUACCCAAAGAAUAAGCACCGGCUAACUUCGUG
This 492-nucleotide ribosomal RNA is filed under the name uncultured bacterium. Its description in RNAcentral is "partial 16S ribosomal RNA". It matches the Rfam family "Bacterial small subunit ribosomal RNA", at positions 29 to 507 of the family's 1533-position model. The record is from RNAcentral.